GGUUUUUUCCCAUGCUGUUCUUAUGAUAGUGAAUAAGUCUCACAAGAUCUGAUGGUUUUUAUAAAGGGCAGUUCCCCUGAACAUGCUCUCUUGCCUGCUGCCAUGUAAGAUGUAUUUUUGCCCUUCCUUCACCUUCUGCCAUGACUGUGAGGCCUCCCUGGCCAUGUGGAACCUUCUGAUCAGACACCAAUGAGACUAGCGCUCGGAUCCAUAACUGGAGGAAACGAAAUCAGAGGCGUGGGUCAGAGGCCAUAUACAAAGAAGACGAAAGGAUUGAGAGAUGCACCUAUGGAAAACAAUUCAACAACAAUUAUGGGCCAGGCUUGAUGAACCUCCGAAGUCUGAAGAGUGACUUCCUACCAACUUUGAGGAUAGAAGUCUUUCUGAUACAGCAUACAGCAUGCGAAAUGGCUUUUUUCAUUUUAUACAUCUUCAUUCAAAACAGAACUGGAAUUUAUUGGGGAGAACUGCGGCCUGAUCAUUAGCUGCAAGGACUAAGACGCUAGAAAGGCAGACAUCUCAGUUUGAGGACUGGACUGUGAAUUGUGGACUCGCCUCUGUGGAGGAGGUGCUACCCCUCUGGAAGGUAGAAGGGCCUGGGUGGUGUACAGAGGGUGAGUCCCAUGGGCACCCAGGGCCACUUUAACACUGUCACUUUGGGUGCUGCUUUUGAAAAGGAUAAAAUUUGACUGAAAUGCCAAAAGACACCAACAUGUAAAAUUAAGGCCAAACUCUUAUUACAACUUGACACAAUUUAAAUAUAGAAUAACAUCUACAGAAUGUAUUCAAUAUGACUUCUCUUUAGGGGUUAAUUUCUCUGCUAAGGCAGAGAACAAAUUUCCAGAAGUUAUUACAAAAUAACAACCGUAUUAUUUCCAGAUAACAGAAAAUAAGAGUAAAAAGCCACAAAUGAGAAAGAACCUAUAUUGAUUUAUGUGUGAAAAAGAAAGCAGACAAGCAAAUAUAUGCUAUUUAGCAUACAUCUGUACAUUAACAUUUUAAAUUUAAGAAGAAAGAUGAGGUAGGACUAAGAAUGUUAUUGUUGGAGAAAUAAAACCCAUGUAUCGCUUCUCGGCCUUUUGGCUAAGAUCGAGUGUGUAUAAAACCCAUAUAUACAGCAAAAUUUAAUUCUUUAUUUUUCAUAUUAAAAAAAUUUAAUUCUUUAUUUUCAUAUUAUUUUGCAGUUAACAAAAAUCACUGCAUCACAAAUAAACCAAAUAGACCUAAAUCAUUUGCCAAACAAUCUGGCAGUCCAUACAAGCAUUUUUCCCACAUUUAAAUUUCACUGACAACAUGACUGUUGGCAUGAGAAAACUGAAAGGGAAUUAGUAUUCUGACUAUAAUUCAAAUUCCUAUUUCAAUGCAAAAAGUUCUUUCACGAUUGUGUGCCAGACAAAUGUAUUUUUCUUACCCUGUAAACAGACUCUACUGCUUGAAUUGCUUUGUAGCAGAGUCGGAGAGCAGAUGCACUGGCCUCUACUGAUCCUUCUCCUACAGGAAAGACAGAAACUUCUCCAGCUGGGUGCCACUCUGACUGGAUUAUGCCAGGCAUGAUGAUCAUGCUGUGCUAAUAAGGUCAGGGUCUGAUCCCUGUGUGUUCUUCCCUCUGCUCCAAGCAGCCCAACUAUAUGCUCAACCUGGUGAAUUAUUUCACAAAUGUGAGAGCAGGCAGAUGGGCAAGGGUGUAACGCUAGAUUUGCCCAGAUCCAUCAUCGUUCAUAGAAGGAUGAAGGAAUGGGCCAGGCAUGGUGGCUUAUUCCUGUAAUCCUAGCACUUUGGGAGCCCAAGGCUAGAGGAUCACUUGAGCCCAGGAGUUUGAGACCAGCCUGGGCAACGUCACAAGACCUUUCUCUACAAAAUGUAAACAAAUUAGCCAGGUGUGGUGGUGUGAACCUAUGGUCUCAGCAACUUGGGAGGCUGAGGUGGGAGGAUCGCUUAAACCCAGGACUUUGAGGCUACAGUGAGCUAUGAUUGUACCACUGCAUUCCAGCCUGGGCAACACAGAGAGACCCUGUCUCAAAAAGAAAAAAAAAAAAGGAAAGAAAGAUAAGGGAUGAUUGUUAGUACCCAAAGACGGUUGCAAGCUGCGGUAGAACAUGUCCAGGCGGGGCAGGGUUUCUUCCCUUUUGGAACCAAGCAGUGAAUUCUAAUAAAGCACAGAGUUGACUGGGGGGACAAACAGAGUGAAGAGUUUCCUUAUCAUUCAUUUUCAGGGAAGUUUUAGGAGACCAAUUCCUUCUAAUGAAUUUAUUUAUAAAUUACAUUCGGCAAUUUAACAUAGUGCUGCCCUCUCAGAAGUUCUCCCUCAGUAGAUUUGGCAGCUGAGUCUGGGAAUGUGUACCUUCUCCAAGCACCCUUGGUCAUUCUGAUGCCAGCAGUCUGACCAAUAUGGGAUAAUUGUUAAGAGCAGGGAUCCUAGGGUUCACAUUCUGGCUCCACUCCUUACUAGCUGUGUGAUGUUGGGCAAAUCAAUCAACCUUUCUGCACCCCAGUUUUCUCAACUGUAAAAUGAGUUUCUCUGGAAACCUAAGGUUGCUAUGAAAAUCAAAUGAGCUAACACAGAUAACUUGGUUAGAAUAGGAUCUCAGAUGCAGGAAGCAUGCAACACCUGUCAGCUGUUAUAACUCCUAGCUGCUCUUUCUUUAUUUCUAAGUUUCUUUUUCAUGUGCAAUGUUUUAUACAUCAACAUAUUUCAUGUUCAUGAUUUGGGUUUAUUAUAUCUCUAUAGAAUUAUCCAAAUGUUAUGUAUGAUAUCUAAUUUUUGGAUGUCCUUUUUAAAAAAGGUGUGAUUACAAACUACUGUUAAUCUCUCUUAUUUGAAAAAAAUUGUAUUUUACAA
This is a long non-coding RNA of Symphalangus syndactylus (siamang), 2839 nucleotides long. RefSeq lists it as uncharacterized. The record is from RefSeq and is a predicted model, not a curated record. Lineage: Eukaryota; Metazoa; Chordata; Mammalia; Primates; Hylobatidae.